Molecule: long non-coding RNA, 545 nt
Filed under: Mus musculus (house mouse)
Lineage: Eukaryota; Metazoa; Chordata; Mammalia; Rodentia; Muridae
Description: predicted gene 44588
Source: RNAcentral
UGCAUUGAGCCUAGUUUCUUAGAGCAUCUAUGAAGUCCAUAAAGAUAGAGAAAGGAUCUGUUUUAUUCCCACCAUGUAAUGCCCAGCACAACAGACAGUGCUCACAGCAACUGUGUGUUCUGUAACGACUUGAAUUAAUGAGUCCAAAAGCUGAUACUUUAAACUUAUUAUUUUGCCACAUUCCUUCAGGAGACAGGGGCUUCAUACAUAUCACAUUUGAAGGAAGAACAGCACUGAAAGAUGCCAACUUGUUUUUGAUGGUGAGGAUUAAAGAAAGAGUACGUGCAAGCUGGAGGCAGGUAAGAGCAUUCAAAGUUCAUUCUUAUGAUGAUGUCCCGAAUGAUGAUCGCAUUUGCCAGGUAGAGGGUGUUGCUGUAGGUGGCAUGGGUUUCACUUACCCUCAAUACUGUCCCACAGGGACCAUUCCUGGCAGGGGUCACUAUGGACAUCCAGUCUCGUUCAUCACUCUCACUGAAGCCUGAGCAUUGUCUGUCAUUCAGGUACAUGAAGACAUUCAUAAAGCCCAAACUCUGUAGCUGGCACUU